This 750-nucleotide ribosomal RNA is filed under the name uncultured bacterium. RNAcentral's name for it is "bacterial SSU rRNA". It matches the Rfam family "Bacterial small subunit ribosomal RNA", at positions 53 to 804 of the family's 1533-position model. The record is from RNAcentral.
ACAUGCAAGUCGAACGGAGCUGUUUUGAUGAAGUUUUCGGAUGGAUUUAAAACAGCUUAGUGGCGGACGGGUGAGUAACGCGUGGGUAACCUGCCUCACACUGGGGGAUAACAGUUAGAAAUAGCUGCUAAUACCGCAUAAGCGCACGGUUCCGCAUGGAACAGUGUGAAAAACUCCGGUGGUGUGAGAUGGACCCGCGUCUGAUUAGCCAGUUGGCGGGGUAACGGCCCACCAAAGCGACGAUCAGUAGCCGGCCUGAGAGGGUGAACGGCCACAUUGGGACUGAGACACGGCCCAAACUCCUACGGGAGGCAGCAGUGGGGAAUAUUGCACAAUGGGGGAAACCCUGAUGCAGCGACGCCGCGUGAGUGAAGAAGUAUUUCGGUAUGUAAAGCUCUAUCAGCAGGGAAGAAAGUGACGGUACCUGAAUAAGAAGCCCCAGCUAACUACGUGCCAGCAGCCGCGGUAAUACGUAGGGGGCAAGCGUUAUCCGGAUUUACUGGGUGUAAAGGGAGCGUAGACGGCAAGGCAAGUCUGAAGUGAAAGCCCGGUGCUUAACGCCGGGACUGCUUUGGAAACUGUUUAGCUGGAGUGCCGGAGAGGUAAGCGGAAUUCCUAGUGUAGCGGUGAAAUGCGUAGAUAUUAGGAAGAACACCAGUGGCGAAGGCGGCUUACUGGACGGUAACUGACGUUGAGGCUCGAAAGCGUGGGGAGCAAACAGGAUUAGAUACCCUGGUAGUCCACGCCGUA